UGACUUGGAAAUUUUCUCGCUUAAAUUACUAUUGGAUCCAAAUGAGUUUAUACGAUAUUUUUUGCUUCCUAUCUUCUUUGCCUGCAUGUCAACAAUAUUAUAUUUAAGAAACAAUUAAUGGAAAUAACUUGUGUCAAAAAAUUAUGCAGGCUGGAAAAUGGAAACAAGCAUGAAGACACUGAUCGAUCGAUCAUCGACAGUUACCCACCAUAAAAAAUAAAAAUAAAAAAACGAUCAAAUUAUUUUCUACAUAAAAUAAAAGAAAGUUGUUUUAAUAUAGGUAUAGGUAAUUAGAGAGAUCAGAAGAAAUUAAUACUUACGAUUCUCAACUACUAAUACAAACCAUAAAGCACCAUUAAAUUGUUCAAAAUGUUCGGGAAUUGGUCAUUUUUUUGAAAAACAAAAACCGAACGCGAAUAGACUCAAGAUCAUAUAACUUAUAUUUUGAAAUCAAUCAAUUAAAUUAGCGCAACAAAUAAUAAAAAAAAAAAUACAGGAGAACAAAGGCACGUUAAUUAAUUAAUUAAUAGCUUCACAUAAAACGGUAAAAUAAAAUUAUUCACCAACCAGUAAAAUAUCAAACAGCACGGCUUUCAAUACUCGUGAAAAACGCCGUCUAGACUUCUCCUUCCUGUCAAUACCGACGCCCCGGAAAUUUCCUCAUCAGGCAGAGACGUCAAAAUCUCCGUCCUCUCCUUGCCCCCUCCACCUAAGGCCAUGUACGUCGGAACCGGGUCGCCGGAACCAUCGGAAGUUUUAAAUUUG
This 765-nucleotide long non-coding RNA is filed under the name Panax ginseng (ginseng). RNAcentral's name for it is "long non-coding RNA (PGIN_LNC015711)". Lineage: Eukaryota; Viridiplantae; Streptophyta; Magnoliopsida; Apiales; Araliaceae. The record is from RNAcentral.